Molecule: transfer RNA, 88 nt
Filed under: Thermothielavioides terrestris NRRL 8126
Lineage: Eukaryota; Fungi; Ascomycota; Sordariomycetes; Sordariales; Chaetomiaceae
Description: Thielavia terrestris NRRL 8126 tRNA
Rfam family: tRNA
About the family: Transfer RNA (tRNA) molecules are approximately 80 nucleotides in length.
Source: Rfam by way of RNAcentral
GCCUGACUAGCUCAAUCGGUAGAGCGUGAGACUCUUAAGGAGGUUCUCCGUCAUCUCAAGGUUGUGGGUUCGACCCCCACGUUAGGCU